This 77-nucleotide transfer RNA is filed under the name Podarcis lilfordi (Lilford's wall lizard). RNAcentral's name for it is "tRNA.Lys". The record is from RNAcentral. Lineage: Eukaryota; Metazoa; Chordata; Lepidosauria; Squamata; Lacertidae.
UAAGGGAUAGCUCAGUCGGAACACCAUGAGUCUCUUAAUCUCAGGGUCGUGGGUUUGAGCCCCACAUUGGGUAAAAG